GCACCACAAGGGGUGAAGCCUGCGGUUCAAUUGGACUCAACGCCGGGAAACUUACCAGGGGAGACAGCAGUAUGACGGUCAGGUUGACGACCUUACCCGACGAGCUGAGAGGAGGUGCAUGGCCGUCGCCAGUUCGUGCCGUGAGGUAUCCUGUUAAGUCAGGCAACGAACGAGAUCCGCACCUUUAUUUGCCAACAAGAAGUCACGACUUCGUUGGGAACACUAAAGGGACCGCCGUCGAUAAGACGGAGGAAGGAGCGGGCAAAGGCAGGUCAGUAUGCCCCGAAACCCCUGGGCUACACGCGGGCUGCAAUGGUAUGAACAAUGGGCUGUGACUCCGAAAGGAGAAACCAAUCCCGAAAUCAUAUCUCAGUUGGAAUUGUCGGCUGUAACCCGCCGACAUGAACGUGGAAUCCCUAGUAAUCGUGUGUCAUCAUCGCACGGUGAAUACGUCUCUGCUCCUUGCACACACCGCCCGUCGCUCCAUCCGAGUGUGCUAAAAAUGAGGUUUGGUCAGUUUGGUCAUAUCGAGUUUCUAGUAUGCGAGGAGGGAG
Molecule: ribosomal RNA, 554 nt
Filed under: uncultured archaeon
Lineage: Archaea
Description: bacterial SSU rRNA
Rfam family: Archaeal small subunit ribosomal RNA
Source: RNAcentral